RNAcentral lists this non-coding RNA (29 nucleotides) under Homo sapiens (human). Lineage: Eukaryota; Metazoa; Chordata; Mammalia; Primates; Hominidae. The record is from RNAcentral.
UGACGAGGUCACACGACGCAUCAAGCAGU